GGGAUUCUGAUUGCUUAUUGCACCACAUGUGUUUUUCUUUGAAACAAACUUGCUUUGGCGGUGGGCCCAGCCUGCCGCCAGAGGUCUAAACUUACAACCAAUUUUUUAUCAACUUGUCACACCAGAUUAUUACUAAUAGUCAAAACUUUCAACAACGGAUCUCUUGGUUCUCGCAUCGAUGAAGAACGCAGCGAAAUGCGAUACGUAAUAUGAAUUGCAGAUAUUCGUGAAUCAUCGAAUCUUUGAACGCACAUUGCGCCCUCUGGUAUUCCGGAGGGCAUGCCUGUUUGAGCGUCGUUUCUCCCUCAAACCGCUGGGUUUGGUGUUGAGCAAUACGACUUGGGUUUGCUUGAAAGACGGUAGUGGUAAGGCGGGAUCGCUUUGACAAUGGCUUAGGUCUAACCAAAAACAUUGCUUGCGGCGGUAACGUCCACCACGUAUAUCUUCAAACUUUGACCUCAAAUCAGGUAGGACUACCCGCUGAACUUAAGCAUAUCAAAAGCCGGAGGAA
This 511-nucleotide ribosomal RNA is filed under the name Candida albicans. Its description in RNAcentral is "eukaryotic LSU rRNA". The stretch from base 144 to 297 matches the Rfam family "5.8S ribosomal RNA". The record is from RNAcentral. Lineage: Eukaryota; Fungi; Ascomycota; Pichiomycetes; Serinales; Debaryomycetaceae.